UCAUAUUCUAGUCAUCUAGUGAGAACAAGAUCCAUGUCUUACGCAGGAAUCUCCCAAAGAUAUAUUCUCACAAAGACCAAAGAAUAUGAUACUAUUUAAUUGAGCUCCUUCCUGUCCAUUAGUUUGAAGGCCACAGGAUUCCAUGCAGGAAUCUCCUUGCUUAGUUGGUGGUGUCCAUUUGCACAGGCUGGCCUUAAAAUA
This 201-nucleotide long non-coding RNA is filed under the name Musa acuminata (dwarf banana). RNAcentral's name for it is "long non-coding RNA (MACU_LNC004617)". The record is from RNAcentral. Lineage: Eukaryota; Viridiplantae; Streptophyta; Magnoliopsida; Zingiberales; Musaceae.